RNAcentral lists this ribosomal RNA (460 nucleotides) under uncultured bacterium. RNAcentral describes it as "partial 16S ribosomal RNA". It matches the Rfam family "Bacterial small subunit ribosomal RNA", at positions 338 to 795 of the family's 1533-position model. The record is from RNAcentral.
CCUACGGGUGGCUGCAGUGAGGAAUAUUGGUCAAUGGGCGCGAGCCUGAACCAGCCAAGUAGCGUGAAGGAUGACUGCCCUACGGGUUGUAAACUUCUUUUAUAAAGGAAUAAAAUGAGGCACGUGUGCCUUUUUGUAUGUACUUUAUGAAUAAGGAUCGGCUAACUCCGUGCCAGCAGCCGCGGUAAUACGGAGGAUCCGAGCGUUAUCCGGAUUGAUUGGGUUUAAAGGGAGCGUAGAUGGGUUGUUAAGUCAGUUGUGAAAGUUUGCGGCUCAACCGUAAAAUUGCAAUUGAUACUGGCAGUCUUGAGUACAGAUGAGGUAGGCGGAAUUCGUGGUGUAGCGGUGAAAUGCUUAGAUAUAACGAAGAACUCCGAUUGCGAAGGCAGCUUACUAAUCUGCAACUGACAUUGAUGCUCGAAAGUGUGGGUAUCAAACAGGAUUAGAUACCCCUGUAGUC